RNAcentral lists this ribosomal RNA (253 nucleotides) under uncultured bacterium. RNAcentral describes it as "partial 16S ribosomal RNA". It matches the Rfam family "Bacterial small subunit ribosomal RNA", at positions 524 to 776 of the family's 1533-position model. The record is from RNAcentral.
UACAGAGGUCCCGAGCGUUGUUCGGAAUUACUGGGCGUAAAGGGCGCGUAGGCGGCGUGUCAAGUCAAUUGUGAAAUCUCCGAGCUUAACUCGGAACUGCCAAUUGAUACUGAUGUGCUAGAGUGCAGAAAGGGCAAUCGGAAUUCUUGGUGUAGCGGUGAAAUGCGUAGAUAUCUGGAGGAACACCGGUGGCGAAGGCGGCAUCCUGGACCAACACUGACGCUGAGGAGCGAAAGCCAGGGGAGCAAACGGG